UUCUUUAUUUUUUUUUUCUUUCUUUCUCUUACUCCUCUCUGUUUCUUUCUCCGCAUGCACGAAUGCCUUUUUUUUUUCUCCUUUCAUUUCUUCUCCUCUCUCUAUCCUUCUCUCUUUCCUUUUUCUUUCCAUUCUCCUUCCCUUCUCUUUCUCUUCUUCUUUCCUUUUUUUUCCCCCUCCUCUUCUCCUUUCUCUUCUCUGUUCUCACACCCGAUCCUUUAAUAUAUUUUUUUCUUUUCUUUCUCUC
RNAcentral lists this long non-coding RNA (247 nucleotides) under Musa acuminata (dwarf banana). RNAcentral's name for it is "long non-coding RNA (MACU_LNC002002)". The record is from RNAcentral. Lineage: Eukaryota; Viridiplantae; Streptophyta; Magnoliopsida; Zingiberales; Musaceae.